Long non-coding RNA from Gallus gallus (chicken), 1287 nucleotides. Lineage: Eukaryota; Metazoa; Chordata; Aves; Galliformes; Phasianidae. The record is from Ensembl.
AUCUGAACUGAGUGGCAAAACAUAGGGAAUGGGACAUCAGGAGGGCCAGUCUCAGUUUUAAUGCUAUGACCCUGGGCAAAUUACCUGUCUGCCCCUGUUUUAUCACACCACACACUUUGUCUUGUCUGUCCAGACUCUAGCUGCUUUGGGACAGACACCAUCUCUCAAAAUGUGUUAGUAAUUCUCCUUGGAGGGCACUGGAGAACAAAAUAAGUGCUUAGUAUAUCAUCAAAAUAUUUAGUAAAUAAUAGGCAAUUGUGAGUCACUGCCCUGUAACUCCAUGUCUGGCUCUUGGUUUGUUGAAGAACAGCUAUGAAUCAGCUUUGGUCUGCAGGGUACUUGGAAAGCACCCAGCACGCGGACAGCUUCGUCUGUGAAUGCCUUUUUUUUUACAGGAUAAUCUGGUUCUGCGAUAGCACAGGGGAGUUUUGGCUGAUACAGUGACAUCAGGCUCAGCGCUCCUACCCCACACAAAGAAGAGUUCAUUCUGCUGGGGGUUGCCCUUCUCUUCCCAGCCCUUCCACCCCUGCACCUUUGGCUGCUGGAUGAUGCUCUUGUCAGCCCAGUGAAAAUUCUUGUGCAAUCCUGACAAAUGAACACCACAAGAAGUUGGAUCUGGAAAGACCAUAGAGCACGGGAUAAAUCGCCAGCUGGGUCUCUCUCUGCCCACUGUAAAAUGAGCACAGAGGACCAGCGAGAGUAAGUGGAUAACUCUCAGAUGGCUGAAAUUGCGUCAGAGAUUUGCACCCAUAGCGACCAGAAGAAAAACGAGUCAGGUGAACAGAGGAUUGUAAGAAAGGAAAAAAGAAAGCACAGCCUUGGCUAUCAUAAAGUCUAUGUGACAUUGAGCAACAGCUUCAGCUGUUAUCGCCUGCCUUCACACACUCCGAGGCCAGAUGGCUGAAGAGAAGGCGUUCAGCCACCAGUCGGUGGGCACUACAGGACUUUCCCAUCAAUCCAGAGAAAGACAAUUCAUUUUUCCCUUUCUGGUAUCAUUCAGACUGCUGUGUGAUGGGAGACUCAAGGGUAACCAACAGCUAAUCCUUGCAGAGCUGGCAGCUCUGGGCAGUAGUCAUAGCUGGAGGGAGGAUACCAAAGACUUUAUGGGGAAAAUUCCCUCUGAUUGCAAAGGGCCAGACUCCAGCAGUAUGUGCAGAAGAUUGGGUACAUUGAGAUAGCCCUUGAAUAAUGUUGCGAAGGUGGACAGAGAUUAAGAAGAAAAGCAUCCAGUUUGGAGUCAGACAGUAUAAAGAAAUGAAAAUAAAAUUCAGGUCGAAAUGCACUUGA